GAUGAACGCUAGCGGCAGGCCUAAUACAUGCAAGUCGGACGGGAUUGGAGAGCUUGCUUUCCAUGAGAGUGGCGCACGGGUGCGUAACACGUAUGUAACCUACCCUUAUCAGGGGGAUAGCCUCUCGAAAGAGAGAUUAAGCCCGCAUAACAUGAAGACACAGCAUUGUGAUUUCAUCAAAUAUUUAUAGGAUAAGGAUGGGCAUGCGGAACAUUAGCUAGUUGGUAAGGUAACGGCUUACCAAGGCUACGAUGUUUAGGGGAUCUGAGAGGAUGACCCCCCACACUGGUACUGAGACACGGACCAGACUCCUACGGGAGGCAGCAGUAAGGAAUAUUGGUCAAUGGGCGGAAGCCUGAACCAGCCAUGCCGCGUGCAGGAAGACGGCCCUACGGGUUGUAAACUGCUUUUGCAGGGGAAUAAACCCCCGUAUGUAUACGGGGUUGAAUGUACUCUGAGAAUAAGGAUCGGCUAACUCCGUGCCAGCAGCCGCGGUAAUACGGAGGAUCCGAGCGUUAUCCGGAUUUAUUGGGUUUAAAGGGUGCGUAGGCGGCUUAUUAAGUCAUGGGUGAAAGACGGUAGCUUAACUAUCGCAGUGCCCUUGAUACUGAUG
This 613-nucleotide ribosomal RNA is filed under the name uncultured bacterium. RNAcentral describes it as "bacterial SSU rRNA". It matches the Rfam family "Bacterial small subunit ribosomal RNA", at positions 28 to 638 of the family's 1533-position model. The record is from RNAcentral.